RNAcentral lists this ribosomal RNA (502 nucleotides) under uncultured bacterium. RNAcentral describes it as "partial 16S ribosomal RNA". It matches the Rfam family "Bacterial small subunit ribosomal RNA", at positions 28 to 523 of the family's 1533-position model. The record is from RNAcentral.
GAUGAACGCUAGCGACAGGCCUAACACAUGCAAGUCGAGGGGCAGAACGAGGUAGCAAUACUUUGGUGGCGACCGGCGCACGGGUGCGUAACGCGUACGCAACCUACCUAUAAUUGGGGGAUAGCUUUCUGAAAAGGAGAUUAACACCGCAUAAGACAAUAGCUUCGCAUGGAGUAGUAGUUAAAUAUUUAGAGAUUAUAGAUGGGCAUGCGUCUGAUUAGAUAGUUGGUAGGGUAACGGCCUACAAAGUCGACGAUCAGUAGGGGUUCUGAGAGGAAGGUCCCCCACACCGGAACUGAGACACGGUCCGGACUCCUACGGGAGGCAGCAGUGAGGAAUAUUGGUCAAUGGGCGAGAGCCUGAACCAGCCAAGUCGCGUGAAGGAAGAAUGUCCUAUGGAUUGUAAACUUCUUUUGUAGGGGGAUAAAAAAGAGUACGUGUACUCUCUUGUAGGUACCCUACGAAUAAGGAUCGGCUAACUCCGUGCCAGCCGCCGCGGUAA